This 366-nucleotide ribosomal RNA is filed under the name uncultured eukaryote. RNAcentral describes it as "partial 18S ribosomal RNA". It matches the Rfam family "Eukaryotic small subunit ribosomal RNA", at positions 592 to 976 of the family's 1831-position model. The record is from RNAcentral.
CAAUAGCGUAUAUUAACGUUGUUGCAGUUAAAAAGCUCGUAGUUGGAUUUCUGGAGGGAGCGUCGGCCCGUAUUUACGAGUGCGUGACGUCUCUGUCCAUCCUUGCGGGAAGGCACGGCAUUGAUCUGUUGUGUCGGAUCGCAUCAUUUACUGUGAAAAAAUUAGAGUGUUCAAAGCAGGCUUUCGCUUGAAUACAUUAGCAUGGAAUAAUAAGAUAGGACUUUGGUGCUAUUUUGUUGGUUGAGCCUAAAGUAAUGAUUAAUAGGGAUAGUUGGGGGCACCUGUAUUGCGUUGUCAGAGGUGAAAUUCUUGGAUUUACGCAAGACAAACAGCUGCGAAAGCGUCUGCCAAGGAUGUUUUCAUUAA